CUGCGAGUGAACAGGGAUAAGCCCAGCACCGAAUCCUGUGGUCAUUUGGCUACUAGGAAAUGUGGUGUUCAGGUUGUUCCGCAAGGGUACUGCUCCAUCCCAAGUCCAUCUUUGAGUGCGGUAGUAUGGACCUGGCCCAUAGAGGGUGAAAGGCCCGUGGGGGUGGAGACCAGGUAGGCCAGUACCUUUCUGGAUAGACCUUGGAGUCGGGUUGUUUGUGAAUGCAGCCCAAAGUGGGUGGUAAACUCCAUCCAAGGCUAAAUACUAGCACGAGUCCGAUAGCAAACAAGUACCGUGAGGGAAAGUUGAAAAGUACUUUGAAGAGAGAGUAAACAGUGCGUGAAACCGGUCAGAGGUAAACGGGUGGAGUUGAACUGCAAGCUCUGGGAAUUCAGCUGGUGAGCGUGGUUUGAGCUUGGUUAAAUUGGUUGGACCCUGGAGUCUGCGUAGCAGCAGGCCUUCGCCUUUCGGGGUGGGGGUGCGCGAUGCACUUGUCAAGUGUUGUGCGCUCUAGGUGUUUCAUCGGGCCAGUUCGCCAGUGCACUUUUCCAGAGUGGUCACCACGACGGGCAUUGCUGUCUGGCUGUUGCGGUUAAACCGGUUUCGCUUUGUCCUUGUGGCAUCGUGAGAUCGGGAUGGCAGGUAGCUCGUUGGCUUGUUUGUAGUCCUCGUGGCUGCAGGCGUUUGGUCUUCGAGUGUAAUCAGCUGACUGCAUCGGUUCUGUGCGGUAUGUCCGAGACGGCGGCUUAUGUGUGUGCGUGCGUACGGGUACGUUCGACGCAUUCGGGUUCUGGUUGUUUAGUAGCCUGUGUUGGCAGGCCUAAUGAUGUCCCGUUUGUGUUUGUUCGGCGGUUGCGUGCGUGACAUGGAUAUUUUUCUCAUGGGCCAACAGUCUGUGGUGUAGUGGUAGACUAUCCACCUGACCCGUCUUGAAACACGGACCAAGGAGAGUAACAUGUGCGCGAGUCAUUGGGCGUUACGAAACCCAAAGGCGUAGUGAAAGUGAAGGCUGGGCUUGUCCUGGCUGAGGUGAGAUCCUGUCGUGUCUCAUGCGCGGUACUACCAAGCUUUGAGCGGCAGGCGCAUCGCCGGCCCGUCCUAUGACAAUUGUUUUCGAGCAUUUUACAGUCGGGGCGGAGCAUGAGCGUACAUGUUGAGACCCGAAAGAUGGUGAACUAUGCUUGCGCAGGUUGAAGCCAGAGGAAACUCUGGUGGAGGACCGAAGCGGUUCUGACGUGCAAAUCGAUCGCCAGACGUGAGUAUAGGGGCG
Molecule: ribosomal RNA, 1270 nt
Filed under: Maritrema arenaria
Lineage: Eukaryota; Metazoa; Platyhelminthes; Trematoda; Plagiorchiida; Microphallidae
Description: eukaryotic LSU rRNA
Rfam family: Eukaryotic large subunit ribosomal RNA
Source: RNAcentral